UUAAGGUAGAUUCAUGGUAUACCGCCAUCUUGGAUUGUACAAUCACAGUACAAAAUCGGUCUAGUUAUUUGCCUAAAUCUGCAAAUUUGGAGACAGAUUUGCAAUUCAAUGGUUAGACUAUUUUUUCUAUUUAGAGAAAACUUGUUAAUUAAUCGUAUUAUUCAAAAUGUUUUAACAAAUAUAAUUUCUUUUGGUUUUAAAAUCUUUUUUUUCAAAUGUGCCAUUUAAGGGAAGAUAACUCUUUUAGUACAAAAUUUAUACUGGGCUAAUAGGGAAAUUUUUUAUUUUUACUUGUAGCAAGAAAACAAGUUCGGUGACACCAUGUUUUCUUUUUAUUUUCUUAAAACAUAUUAUGAAACCUUUCUUCUCACAAUUUAUUUCAAAAUUCUAUCUCAUAGAAUUUUUUUUAUGCACACUAAUGUGUUUUUUCAUGAACAAACUAACCAAUUUUUGGCAAUUUUCAACGCCUCAUAGCUUGAAAAAUAGCACGGUGACCC
RNAcentral lists this long non-coding RNA (497 nucleotides) under Mytilus galloprovincialis (Mediterranean mussel). Lineage: Eukaryota; Metazoa; Mollusca; Bivalvia; Mytilida; Mytilidae. The record is from RNAcentral.